GGGGGCGACCCGGUUUCGACGUGGGUUGCGAAACAGCGUGGUGCAUGCCAAGGUCCAGUCACCUUGUAAAUCAGCUGGAAAACGUAUAGUCGCAAACGACGAACGUUACUCUCUAGCCGCCUAAUACCGGCUAGACUCCGCACCAGCUUUCUCUCGGGUUGGGUUGGGUAACCAACAGC
Molecule: transfer-messenger RNA, 179 nt
Filed under: Betaproteobacteria bacterium
Lineage: Bacteria; Pseudomonadati; Pseudomonadota; Betaproteobacteria
Description: partial transfer-messenger RNA
Rfam family: transfer-messenger RNA
About the family: Bacterial tmRNA, also known as 10Sa RNA or SsrA, is named for its dual tRNA and mRNA-like properties.
Source: RNAcentral